ACGGCUACCUUGUUACGACUAAAGAGCUUCGAGCGAGCGCCGGUUUCGGGGCGCUAUAGAAAGCAGCUACGAAAAGGACCAGCGACUGACGUCGCUGGUCCUUUUCUUCGCUACAAGCACAUGCUGACUUUCGCGGCUCGCGGCUCGCGGCUCGCGGCUCGCGGCUCGCGGCUCGCGGCUCGCGGCUCGCGGCUCGCGGCUUCAGCCGGUCAUCGCCUGAGCCAGGAUCAAACUCU
This 236-nucleotide ribosomal RNA is filed under the name Burkholderia sp. B-4001. RNAcentral's name for it is "partial 16S ribosomal RNA". The record is from RNAcentral. Lineage: Bacteria; Pseudomonadati; Pseudomonadota; Betaproteobacteria; Burkholderiales; Burkholderiaceae.